AUCUUUAAGAUUUAAUUUAAAGUAAAACCUGCUCAAUGAUAAAUUAAAUAGCCGCAGUUUUCACUGUGCUAAGGUAGCAUAAUAAUUAGCUUCAUAAUUGGAAGAUUGUAUGAAAGGUUUAACAAAAAUCAACUAUUUCUAUAUAAUAAACAAAAUUAAUUUAAAUGUUAAAAAGCAUUUAUAUACUCAUAAGACGACAAGACCCUAACAAACUUACUAUUUUAUUGGGGCAAUUAAUUAAAAAUACUUUAUAUAAUUUUCAACACAUAACUAUUUUUAAUAAUAAAGAUUCAGUUACUGUAGGGAUAACAGCGCAAUAUCUUUCAAAAGUUCUAAUAUAAAAAGAAAUUUGCGACCUCGAUGUUGAAUUAACUUAACUUUUUGGAGCAAAAUCUAACUAAGUUGGUCUGUUCACCAUUAAUAAAGU
RNAcentral lists this ribosomal RNA (427 nucleotides) under Stygopholcus photophilus. Its description in RNAcentral is "partial 16S ribosomal RNA". Lineage: Eukaryota; Metazoa; Arthropoda; Arachnida; Araneae; Pholcidae. The record is from RNAcentral.